GCGCAGCCUGAGCGCCGCGAAGAUGGAGGAGCUGUCGAGGGGUCGCCGUCGCCGCUGUCGCCGCCACUGCUGCCGCGGCCGCCCGCGCGCCCGGAGCGCCAGCCGCCGGGGGGGUGCUGCUGUGAGUGUCUGAUCACCGUGCCCUGGAGGAUGGCCUUGGAUGGGCAGUAGAGGCACGGCGUUCCUGGACGCCUGUCCCGUCCGUCUGUCGGCGUCUGUCUCUCUCAGCACCACCGCAGCUUCACCCCCUCCUGUCCCAGCCCCCGCACCGGCGUCUUGUGGGUCCAGAGCCGGCAUGAACUCUCCCACCGAGUCGGCAGAUGGCGUGGCUGGCCGGGAGCCGUCCCUGGAGAUCCUGCCGCGGACACCACUGCGCAGCAUCCCCGUGGCAGGUGAGCCAGCACCCACUGCGCCACCUGCCCCUCACUUCCCUCAGGUGGGGCCAUCCUGGCCGCUCCUAGAAGCUGUGCUGAGCAGGGUGAUGGUGCCAUCGGGUCAUGCCUGCUCCUGAGGUCGCCUCCUCGGGACCCUGUUCCUCCUUCCCAGGCUGCCGGCCCCAGGAGGGUCACCCACUGCUGAGCAGGGGCUCCCUGGGCUGGUGACCUGUGGUCUCUGCAGCUGGGGUGCCAGGGGCUCGGUGACCGUCCCCCAGGCCCUGGUUCAGCCUGGCCUGUGGGUGCAGAGCUGUCAGUCUGGCCCAGGUGACCUGCUGGCCCCUCACCUGCACCUUCUCGGCAGGGACUUUCUCAGACUUGCUUGGGGGUGGGCUCCCCCCAGCAGCCUCUCCUCCCUGCUCCCAGGAACCUGUUGGCAGCACCAGGCCCUCCUGGCACAGCUGUCCCACCAGGCCGGCACCACAAGAUGCUUCCUGCAGGGAGGGGUGCUGGGCCCAUGCCCGCGUGGCCUCCUGGCUGCAGCCUGGCGCAUGUGUGAGCGCGUGUGCGUGCUGUGGGGAGUCCUAGCUCUGAAUGUGUGGGUGUGGAGCCCAAGGCUCUGAAUCAGGAGGGGGGCUGUGAGCCUCCCAGUGCCUGAGACCCGGCUCUGAGCUUCGGGAUAAGGUUGGGCAGGGUUCAGGUUCCCCAGGGGCCCUGCUGCACCUACCAAGGCGUCUCCAGCCCCAGGAGGUCUGAGCAGGCUGGCUUUUUUCUCUGCUAAUCCAGCCUGCAGCUCUGGCUCCAAACCCUGGCCUUGUCCCCCAGAGGGCAGUGGGUGUUCAGUCCCUGCACCCUCAUCCUGCGCCAGCCCUGUGUCUCCUGCCCAGCGCUUGGCCUGAGCUCCCUCCCAGCUGUGCCCCUCGAGCUGGACCUGUCCCCCUGCACCUCAGCCCUGUCCCCUACCCCGAGGCCAGCCGGCCCUCCUGGCGAGGCGAGAAGAGGCGUGAGUCACCAGAAGCCAGCGGCAGCCAGCGCUGGAGAGGGCGGGAAUGUCCCUGAGGCCCGGAGUGCUGCCUGUGACGUGCGGCAGGACAGAUACAGCCCCGGGCUUGGCUGCCUGUAUUCCUUUUUCUUUUUUGGACUCUGGAAUGUAAAUAGAUGUUUCAAAUAGAAACACUUUAACCUUUGGCUUAGAAAAAAUGCCCACCCCAGAUAAGCAGGGUGGUGAGGGACUGGGCGGCAGCCUGCUGUUUCUUGCCUGUCCCACGUCCCGACAGGACUUGGGGUCCCGGUGCCCGUGGCUGUGGCAGCGCCCUCAUUCCUUCUUGAUGGCAGGCAGCAUGUGUGUCCCGGGCUCCCGGUCCGAAGGGUUAGAGAGAGGGCCGUCCGCAUGGGGCUUCCCCGCCAUCCCAGCAGCAGGUUUUCGGCAGUUUGAAGGGCAGCCUUUGCUCUCUUGGUCAUAUUUUUCUUUUUUUUUUUUAUUAUAUGUUACCAGGGAUUGAACACAGGACCUUGCACUUUCGAGGCAGGCAGCGGAACCACUGAGCUAAAUCCCCGGCCCUCUUGGCCACAUUUUUGUUGUUAUUUUGAUUUUUCUGAGAUAGUGUCUUACUGUGUGGCCCAGGCUGCCCUCGAACUCACAGUGAUCCUCUUGCCUCCGCCUCCUGAGUGCUGGGAUGAAGGGGUGGGUACCUGCUGUCCUGCUGGCUGCCAGUGCUCAGCGCCAAGCACGGUGCCUGGGACCUGGAUGGACACCGCAGUGGGUGGAGCCGUUCCCGGCUCUGUUCUGGGGCCUGGCCCUCUGGUGACUGAAGCACAGCAGGUCCUGCCGGGGAGGGCCAGGCACACUGCUGUUCCUGAGAGGAAAGUCGAGUCUUGGAGCCAUGGUGGGGUCUGCAGGGUUGAGCUCUCAGCUCACCGUGAGCUUCCCAGGAGUCGCUGCUCUCUUGACCUGGACGCGGGGUUCCCCUCUGUGGCCCUUGGUCUGGCUGAUGCCUGGGUAGUAGUGUGCAGGGCGUGAAGGGAGGCUGAGGCAGGGGGAUCCCAAGUUAGAGCCCAACCUGGCUAGCAGCGAUUUAGCGAGACUCUGGCACAAAAUAAAACAAAGAAUAAAAAGAGCUAGGACAUUGGUCAGUGUGGAGGCCCUGAGUCUGGUCCCCAGUCCUGGGAGAAGACACCAGAGGACCUCUGUCCCCAUGCAGGGAGGUGCUCUGGAUUCGGAUGGGCCCCAGGCUUUCCCUCUGUGUGACACAAGGUGUGCCGGUGUGGAGCCAGCCCUGGUGGGGAGCAGUCUUCCCAUGUGGCAGGUGUAGGAGUACUGGGGGCUCCCCUGCCUUAUCCCCUGUAGGAAGGGUGUUAGUAACACGUCUCCAAGUGAGAAGGACCACAGAGGUCAGGGGGCUUGGCAAGGUCACAGCCAGAGCUGGGAUUUGAACUCAGAUCUUGGUGUGGGGUCCUUGUUAAAGCUGCUUUUGUGGCCCUUGUUAAAGGUGGCCCUUCUGGGGGGAUGUACCCCUGUGCCAGUGUCACAGCUUAGCAAUUGGAGCGUGGGUUAGGUUCCAGCCCCAACUUGCCCUGGUUCAGUUGGCUGCCAUGUGCAGUGUAUGACCUGUGUAACUUUACAUGGCAGGCUGCCUCUGUGGCCCAGUUUGUGCUCCCAAAGAACAGGGACCACUCUGGCCUUGGGGAGCUCUCCUGGGCGUUCUGAGGGGGGGUCCCGCUUCCUUUAAAUACGCAGGAUCGCUUGGAAGUCUCUACCUGUGUGGACUUGGGCCCCGAGGAAGCAGCAUUGAGCUCCCCGCCCUGGGCCUCUUGUUCUUGUGCCCUCAGCUGUCCUUUCCCAGCUGCAUGGCUGCCAGACAGGAAAUCAGAUUCGCUGUGUUCGCACAUGCAGCUGUGACAGCCGGCAGUCGGGAUGCGGGUCGGUGGGUGUCAGGCCCGGUCCUGGCAGAUGCUCCAGGGAGUGUGUGCACGAGUGCGCGGCCAGCAUUAGCUAACUGUCGUCUGUGGCCGGGCCCUGCUUGGAGGAAGGAAGGCUCCCUUCUUGCACCCUGUGCAGUCGGGGCAGUGGGCCCAGCCACCCUGG
This is a long non-coding RNA of Heterocephalus glaber (naked mole-rat), 3459 nucleotides long. The record is from Ensembl. Lineage: Eukaryota; Metazoa; Chordata; Mammalia; Rodentia; Bathyergidae.